GACUUACUUCAGUGAAGUGCACCAUAUUGACUUGGAUUAGCCCAAAGGCGCCCAGUUGCUGUGUUCGCUGGCAAUAUUGCGUCCAGAGCAAAUAGAACUUCCGGUACCGCCUACUUCCCAAAUACCAUUCCUGGCUUCGCAACGACGAUUCCAGUCCCUCCGACUGUAAAUUUGUAAUGUUGCAUUAUUUGUGCAUUGUGGACUUAUCAAAAAGAACUCACCGCCUUUUCCAGUUGGGUUCCCCGUAGACAAAUCUCAAAUGUGAAGCCCACCAGGACCAAAGUGGGUAAUAUAUACUGGGCGAUGAUAAGGACAUCUGAUGUCUCCGAGAGCAUAAAGAGGUAGAAGCAGAGGGAACCGGCGCCUACAAAAUUGCUCACCAGGAAGGCCACUUUAAAGAUGUCGUUGUAUCUUCGAUAUUGCUGCUGCCUCUGAACUAAUAACCUAAGAUCCACAAAGAAUCGCUUCUCAUCGGUCAAACUCUGUCGAGGAUCGAUGGCCGAAAACUGGCGAGCAAGAUGGCCCAAAUGCAUGACCAAAUGUCCCUGCAUCACAUUGAAUAGGUUGUCGAAGGUAACGAAAAAGGAGACGCCGCAAGUGGUGCACAUCAGGUCGAAGGACCAGACUAAAAGGUAGAAAUUUGGGUCCUUUCGCACACCGCAUGGCAGCCAUCCUCCAAGGAGCUGCUCGUGCUGGGCAACAGGAGUAUCUUUACCCUCGUGGGUCAGGAGGAAUAGAGCUAAUGGCACAACGCAGAACAUCGGACCACCCAAAUGGGAGUAGAUACGGAUGAAGCGAUAGCGCUGCCAAAAGUUUCGGUAUAGCAUCAAUCCCCUGAUCGAGAAGUAAAUGGUGAUGCUAAGCACGGGCGGAUUCUGGUUGGCAGGAUGUCCCAGCCAAAAAUGUCCUAUGAUGUCCCAACCAUUGCAGCCGAAAAACAGGACAUUAAGAAACGCCGACAAGCAGAAGGGGACCAUGGAUGCGUUCACCAUGCUGUUGUCCACCGGAUUUCUCCGCCACUGGAAAUGCACCAUCUGAGCCACCUCCUGGAACAUCUGCGGACGCAGAAACUCCUCCAUUCGAUAGGGUUUUUUGAUUUCCGUUGGCUUCAUGGUUUGCUAAACUCACUUAACUUUUCUGUAUGGCUUCUACUGUCUGAACUUCCUAUAUAUGGCCAAUAAUCCUAAAUAAUUACGAGUCUAAUUGAUAAGGUCCUGCCAGAUUGGAUUCUAAAUUGCACGUUUUAUGAUCGCAGUAAAUUAGCUACAGGC
Molecule: non-coding RNA, 1271 nt
Organism: Drosophila melanogaster (fruit fly)
Lineage: Eukaryota; Metazoa; Arthropoda; Insecta; Diptera; Drosophilidae
Source: Ensembl